UUGUUCUUGGGGUGCGAGCGCACCAUAUACUGAGGCCCCGAGGUACAGGGCCUCGAACGGGCCCGGGGUUCAAAAGAUUGCGGCCUGUCGGGCCGACGAUCAAAGUCACGAUAGUGAGUAGGGGCCGUGCUCCUACGGCCUCCGUAUUUGACCAUCUCCGCGUAGGAGAGCACUCUUUCCGCCUGUGCGCGGCGCUCUAUGUCGCGGUGGUAACGGGGCGUAGGCCGAGCCAUGCUCUGGACGGCACGUUUGCGUCCGCGUGUGACCAUAGUCCAACCGUCUCUCUCUGGCCAAACCAUGGUUUAAGUGUCUUCUCCUUUUUAAUAUAUAUGUGUACGUGUGUUAGUAGAUUUGUUGUGGAUCUGAAUUGAUCGAAUUGGACCUUUUUUCUAUGUUUUUUAGGUGUGAGAGGACUCUUGGGGAGAUUGGAACCAGGAACUAUACUGGCACGGGUCGGCCUACGGAACGGCGACCCGGAAAGAGUUCCCUCGGACUCAGUGUGAGAGGACUCUUGGGGAGAUUGGAACCAGGAACUAUACUGGCACGGGUCGGCCUACGGAACGGCGACCCGGAAAGAGUUCCCUCGGACUCAGUGUGAGAGGACUCUUGGGGAGAUUGGAACCAGGAACUAUACUGGCACGGGUCGGCCUACGGAACGGCGACCCGGAAAGAGUUCCCUCGGACUCAGUGUGAGAGGACUCUUGGGGAGAUUGGAACCAGGUAAGUAGGCUUAUUUAUUAUUUUUUUAUGUUUUUUUUUGUGUUCUCCGGUAAGUAGGAUCUUAAUUAGUAUCAUGUACUUUUUUAUUUUCAGGAAAAUGGGGCUCGAUUUGUGUUAGGUGCUUUUUAAGUAAUUGUGGAAUUAUGUAUUAUAUGCUAUAUUAUCAAGUGUAUUUUGAGGAAUUGUUAUUUCAGGUCAAUAGGGAUUAAUUUGUAUUAUGUGCUUUUUAAUUUUCAGAGAAGUAGGGCUUAAUUUGUAUUAGAUCUCUGUUAUUCUCCCGAUUAAUAGGGCUUAAUUUGUAUUAUAUGCUUUGUUAUCGAUUGUAUUUAGAGGAAUUUUUAUUCUGAAUCAGUGGAAUCACUUUCCUUGAAUUCUGGAGUGAGGAUAAAUUAACAAGCCGUUGCAACGUUUCGGUUCUCCUGGAACCUUCUUCAGGCAGGCUUGUUAUGAUUUGAAAUUAGUUGAAUAAGUUUGAGGAUCCAAAAAAAAAAAAAAAAAAAAAAAAAAAAAAAAAAAAAAAAAAAAAAAAAAAAAAAAAAAAAAAAUAUGAGUAUUGUUUACAGGCUUUCUCUCAAAGAGCUGGAAGCAGAUUUACUAAAAUAGAUUAAGCAUCAAAAGAAUAUGAUUAGUGUUUAAAGGCUUUCUCUCAAAGAGCUGUAAGCAGAUUUACUAAAAUAGAUUAAGUAUCAAUAGAGUACGAGUAGUGUUUAAAGGCUUUCUCUCAAAGAGCUGGAAGCAGAUUUACUAAAAUAGAUUAAGCAUCAGAAGAGUAUGAUUAGUGUUUAAAGGCUUUCUCUCAAAGAGCUGGAAGCAGUGAGUGAGCUUUUGCCUCCUCAACUGUCCCUUUUUAUAGUAUAGGGGGCGGGACUCUGUUUGAAUGGGCCAAUAGGAGGCUCUCUGUUUGAAUGGGCCA
Ictalurus punctatus (channel catfish) is the source of this 1633-nucleotide long non-coding RNA. RefSeq lists it as uncharacterized. The transcript is spliced from 7 exons. The record is from RefSeq and is a predicted model, not a curated record. Lineage: Eukaryota; Metazoa; Chordata; Actinopteri; Siluriformes; Ictaluridae.